UACGGAGGAUCCAAGCGUUAUCCGGAUUUAUUGGGUUUAAAGGGUGCGCAGGCGGAAAGGUAAGUCGGUGGUGAAAUCCUACAGCUCAACUGUAGAACUGCCAUUGAUACUGCUUUUCUUGAGUAUAGCUGAAGUGGGCGGAAUGUGUCAUGUAGCGGUGAAAUGCUUAGAUAUGACACAGAACACCGAUUGCGAAGGCAGCUCACUAAACUAUAACUGACGCUCAUGCACGAAAGCGUGGGGAUCAAACAGG
RNAcentral lists this ribosomal RNA (253 nucleotides) under uncultured bacterium. RNAcentral describes it as "partial 16S ribosomal RNA". It matches the Rfam family "Bacterial small subunit ribosomal RNA", at positions 524 to 776 of the family's 1533-position model. The record is from RNAcentral.